This is a long non-coding RNA of Triticum aestivum (bread wheat), 2790 nucleotides long. RefSeq lists it as uncharacterized. The transcript is spliced from 5 exons. Lineage: Eukaryota; Viridiplantae; Streptophyta; Magnoliopsida; Poales; Poaceae. The record is from RefSeq and is a predicted model, not a curated record.
CCCAAUUUGAUUUCUUAUCUGCUAUAUUGCAUUUGUUCUCCCAAAUGGGUCAGCGUGCCUUCUGUGUCAAAAUUUGGAGAUGUAGUUCUGAAAACCAGUGAACAAGGAGAAAUUUGGAGAUGUAGUUCUAAAAACCAGUGAACAAGAAGCACAUGGGAGCCGCUCAAUGCUCUACUAUUGAAAGUUGGUGUGGUUGUUUGUCAGUAAAACUUAUCUGUAGUCAAGUCAUACCCAGCCCGUUGACCAUCAUCCGAAUGCUUCUGAUAAUAACCAAGUGUUUUCUAUUGAAUAUGUUACAAUCCAUUCUGAAGCAAACUGAGUUACUAGCAGUUUAAGAAGAUGUUAUACACCUGACUGACGAAGAUCUUUUUUAUAUCCACAAGGCAUUUCAUGACGAUCCAAGUAUAUUGCUGAUCAAAUAGAAAAUAUGUAAUUUUCUGUUUCGGUAAUAAACGGGCAAUUCAACGUAUAGUUGGGGCAGCCUGAUUUCCUCUUACACAUGCCUGCUAGCAGCAGCAGUUACGACCAGGCGGUUGCGGCCUGACUUGGCGGCUCUUCCUUUUUGUUUUGUGUUUGAAUCAGAUUUGGCGGUCUCGAUUUUACAGGCAUGUGUUGAUCUUGGUCUUGUUCUGUAUGCAGGUAGGGUACACUUGAUGUUUCAUGUUUGGUGAAAGAAAAGGAGCUUCCUAUGUUGAUUUCGGGCAAGACAUACAUUCUGCCAUGCAUUAGUAGAUCAAUUGCUUCUCUGUGUAGGGGAACGAUUAGCGAUUGAAUCUCUCUGUCUCGUUUCUUGAUUAUCCAAUUAAUUUACCCUCAUCUAUGCAUAAAUUGGUCCGAUUGAGUUAUGCCAUUUUUCUAAUAAUCUAUAUUGGUUCUAUAUAUGACUAGAACAAUAUGAUACGAUGCACAUCGGUCCGCUUUACUGGCAGCUAUCUUUCAAGAUGGAGGGGAGGCACUCGUGUGGACCUGCUCAAUGUUCGAGGAGAUACGGCUGACUAAACAAGGUUAUUUUGAAGUUCUUUGUGGUUCAUGUUAGCUAUCUAUCAGUAAUAGUACAACCUUGAUUUUUAUGUCGUUCAGGUUUACCUAACAUUCAGUAACAUUACUUUCCAUUGGAGACUUCUUACAGGAGGUGCUUAUAAAAUGAUGGUUGAACAUGUACAGAUUUUGGAUCACGAUCAUCUAUUUACCAGGCAUCAGUUAACUCAAGGCAUCGAUCAAAAUCUAGCAUUCUUUGUUGUGUGCACCAUGGAGAAGACAAAGAACAGAGAUUGUGUGAUAUAUCCGAUAGCGCAAUAUAAUUUUCUCUUGCAUAUUUAUAAUCUGCCAUUUGAAUGAUGUUUUCUAUGUUGUAGUCAAAUCAAGACAAUUUGCAACUUUGGUGUUGUGACGUUGGAGGCCGUGCUCAACAGCAAUGGGGGACUGUUCGUUGAUGCCCGACCCAUGAUGCCGGCGAAGGAAUGAGAGUCGACGAGGAGUGGACACCAUGGGUUUGUGAACUGGCGAAGCCUCCGUUGUCCGUUUGGUAAUGUCCGACGCAUCAGAGGCAUAGUAUGACUUGCCCCGAUUAUGAUGUCGUCUACAAACAUCCGACGGAGGGGAACCCGUCCCAGUUUCCAUCUUGAUGUGAUAUUAUCAACCUUCAACGAGCAGUGACAACGAACUCCAUCCCCCCACACCACCACACCCAAAUGGCGUAGGAUAGACUGAUGUUUCAUGUGAUGUGCUUUAAGCCAUGUUUCAGCUUGUCUUGACCCAGCAUGUAUUUUUAGUUUCAGUUGUUGAGCUCUGCACUAUAAAACCGAGAAAUACCCAAGGCUUUUUACAGACUACAAAUAGAGGGAAGUUUGCAUGUGCCUUACUAGAGACAGAUGAACCAAUAAAAUGAUUGGAAAGGUUCUUCCCAAGCAAAAGAUUACCUAUGAUGAAAAUUACAUUCUCUGCGGGCGCUGAUUCAGAUAUAUUACUAUGGGCAAAGGAAGUUCAAAAUUUAUCUCAAUCAAACAUGUGCAAAGGAAAAUUCAAAAUUUGUUAUGUCAGGAAAAGAUUCUUAAACCAGUGAAGUAUCUAGAGGGCUUAUUAGGACACUGCUCAUAUUGUUUGAUACUUUACCAUCUGGGGAUUAGGCUACCGGUGAACACGACAAUGCGGCUGUUGGUCACGGAUGCCGGGGGCGUGAGCGGGGUUGAGGAGCUCACAUGGUGCUAUACAUGACGACCUGCGAGUGGUGGCAGGAGGUGGCAUGCCUGCUGCUUGGCUGGAAGUCCGACAUGAACUCCCACGACCGAGUGUAAGCAUGGUUGUGAAGACCUUCCAGCAUUACCCCAGGAAGCUAACACAUCAGCUUGUGCCAUACGUGGUGUUUUCUUGUUGAUGAAUGUUGGUCUAGGUAAUUUCUUUGAUGAACCAUGUGACAAUUAAUAAAGUUAAUAAAGGACAGCAUACUCUUUUUGUCCGCCUUGAUCGCAGUGGGGCGGGGGUGAGGCGUUGGAGAGAGGCGGGGCAGUGGUGCAUGCGUGCAGUGCGUCUGGACGACAGAAUGCAUGAUCGAGUGAUCGGUGUGGUGGUUGGCGGUGCUUGGGCAUUGAUGUUCGAUUUGAGAGGAAGAAGAAAGAUUAGCUGCUGAUUUUGGGGGGAAGAAGAGAGAUUGAGCGUGUUGUUGUUGUCGUGUGUGGUCUUGGGAGAGGAAUAAAAGAGAGUAGUAAAGAGCUGUAGAGAGAUAGCGAGGGAUUGAGAGGCUACUACUAUUUUUUAUUGUUGUCGAUGCUUGCACAAUGCUAUUUCUUAUUA